This 732-nucleotide ribosomal RNA is filed under the name uncultured Staphylococcus sp. RNAcentral's name for it is "bacterial SSU rRNA". It matches the Rfam family "Bacterial small subunit ribosomal RNA", at positions 66 to 780 of the family's 1533-position model. Lineage: Bacteria; Bacillati; Bacillota; Bacilli; Caryophanales; Staphylococcaceae. The record is from RNAcentral.
GCGAACAGACGAGGAGCUUGCUCCUCUGACGUUAGCGGCGGACGGGUGAGUAACACGUGGAUAACCUACCUAUAAGACUGGGAUAACUUCGGGAAACCGGAGCUAAUACCGGAUAAUAUAUUGAACCGCAUGGUUCAAUAGUGAAAGACGGUUUUGCUGUCACUUAUAGAUGGAUCCGCGCCGCAUUAGCUAGUUGGUAAGGUAACGGCUUACCAAGGCGACGAUGCGUAGCCGACCUGAGAGGGUGAUCGGCCACACUGGAACUGAGACACGGUCCAGACUCCUACGGGAGGCAGCAGUAGGGAAUCUUCCGCAAUGGGCGAAAGCCUGACGGAGCAACGCCGCGUGAGUGAUGAAGGUCUUCGGAUCGUGAAACUCUGUUAUUAGGGAAGAACAAAUGUGUAAGUAACUAUGCACGUCUUGACGGUACCUAAUCAGAAAGCCACGGCUAACUACGUGCCAGCAGCCGCGGUAAUACGUAGGUGGCAAGCGUUAUCCGGAAUUAUUGGGCGUAAAGCGCGCGUAGGCGGUUUUUUAAGUCUGAUGUGAAAGCCCACGGCUCAACCGUGGAGGGUCAUUGGAAACUGGAAAACUUGAGUGCAGAAGAGGAAAGUGGAAUUCCAUGUGUAGCGGUGAAAUGCGCAGAGAUAUGGAGGAACACCAGUGGCGAAGGCGACUUUCUGGUCUGUAACUGACGCUGAUGUGCGAAAGCGUGGGGAUCAAACAGGAUUA